GACGAACGCUGGCGGCGUGCUUAACACAUGCAAGUCGAACGGUGAAGCGCCUUCCUUUUUGGUGGGUGUGGAUGAGUGACGAACGGGUGAGUAACACGUGAGUAACCUGCCCCCUUCUUCUGGAUAACCGCAUGAAAGUGUGGCUAAUACGGGAUAUUCUGGGUCUGUCGCAUGAUGGGUCUGGGAAAGAUAUUGUUUCGGUGGGGGAUGGGCUCGCGGCCUAUCAGCUUGUUGGUGGGGUGAUGGCCUACCAAGGCGGUGACGGGUAGCCGGCCUGAGAGGGUGGACGGUCACACUGGGACUGAGACACGGCCCAGACUCCUACGGGAGGCAGCAGUGGGGAAUAUUGCACAAUGGGCGCAAGCCUGAUGCAGCGACGCCGCGUGAGGGAUGGAGGCCUUCGGGUUGUGAACCUCUUUCGCCAGUGAAGCAGGCCUGCCUCGUUUGUGGGUGGGUUGACGGUAGCUGGAGAAGAAGCGCCGGCUAACUACGUG
RNAcentral lists this ribosomal RNA (494 nucleotides) under uncultured bacterium. RNAcentral describes it as "partial 16S ribosomal RNA". It matches the Rfam family "Bacterial small subunit ribosomal RNA", at positions 28 to 507 of the family's 1533-position model. The record is from RNAcentral.